This 678-nucleotide ribosomal RNA is filed under the name Citharichthys arctifrons (Gulf Stream flounder). Its description in RNAcentral is "partial small subunit ribosomal RNA". It matches the Rfam family "Bacterial small subunit ribosomal RNA", at positions 512 to 1502 of the family's 1533-position model. Lineage: Eukaryota; Metazoa; Chordata; Actinopteri; Pleuronectiformes; Cyclopsettidae. The record is from RNAcentral.
CCACCGCGGUUAUACGAGAGGCUCAAGUUGAUAGACAGCGGCGUAAAGAGUGGUUAGGGAAACUCCGAAACUAAAGUCGAACGCUUCCAUGGCUGUUAUACGCACCCGAAAGCAUGAAGCCCACCUACGAAAGUGACUUUAAAAAACCUGAACCCACGAAAGCUAAGGAACAAACUGGGAUUAGAUACCCCACUAUGCUUAGCCCUAAACAUAGAAUAAACUUUACCUAAUAUACUCCGCCCGGGUAUUACGAGCAUCAGCUUAAAACCCAAAGGACUUGGCGGUGCUUUACAUCCACCUAGAGGAGCCUGUUCUAUAACCGAUAAUCCCCGUUAAACCUCACCUCUCCUUGCUUAAUCCGCCUAUAUACCACCGUCGUCAGCUUACCCUGUGAAGGCCAAAUAGUAAGCUUAAUUGGCAGACCCCAGAACGUCAGGUCGAGGUGUAGUGAAUGGAGAGGGAAGAAAUGGGCUACAUUUGCUUAGUAAGCAAAUACGAAUGCUGUAUUGAAACAUACAACUGAAGGAGAAUUUAGCAGUAAGCAGGGAAUAGAGUGUCCUGCUGAAAACGGCUCUAAAGUGCGCACAUACCGCCCGUCACCCUCACCAAGCACCUGGACCUAAGUACAUUAAGAAAUCUCCAACCGCGAAGGAGAGGAAAGUCGUAACAUGGUAAGCG